ACAGGGAGGUGACAUUGCUGUCCCCACAGCGUCCCCGCUGUCCCCGCUGUGGGAGCUGCUGGCCUGGCGCGUCCCCGCGCGCUCGGCGCUGGCCCUGCUGCUGGCCCUGCUGGCCCUGGGCUCGCUGUCGCGCUUCAGCGCCGUCUCGGUGCUGGCACACGGGGCGCUGGCCGUGCUGGCUGUCACCGUCCCCCUGCGCCUGCGCCAGCUGUGCCUCAGGGCGCUGGGGACCCCCCCGGCCGGGGACAGCCCCCCCAGGGCAGAGCCCCUGAGCGCGGAGCAGCAGCAGCGCUGGGCGCGGUGCCUGGCCCGGCACGCCGCCGCCGCCGCGCGCAGCCUCGCCCGCCUCUUCCUCGUGCACAGCGUCCCCGAGUCCCUCAAGUUCGCCUUCCUGUUCUACCUGCUGACCUACGUGGGGGCCGCGUGCAACGGAGUGACGCUGCUGGCAGCGGGUACCAGGGGACAUGGGGACA
Molecule: long non-coding RNA, 473 nt
Organism: Pyrgilauda ruficollis (rufous-necked snowfinch)
Lineage: Eukaryota; Metazoa; Chordata; Aves; Passeriformes; Passeridae
Exons: 3
Source: RefSeq, a predicted model, not a curated record